RNAcentral lists this unclassified non-coding RNA (438 nucleotides) under Hevea brasiliensis (rubber tree). Lineage: Eukaryota; Viridiplantae; Streptophyta; Magnoliopsida; Malpighiales; Euphorbiaceae. The record is from RNAcentral.
CACAUCAGGGCUUUCUGGUUUCUGUAAACGGCGUUCCGACUCUGCAUAAGGUUUAUUUAUAGGUGACUCUGAGCUUUUAUCAUCAAAGGAAUCAACUUUGUCAGUGCAAUUUAGACCAGGAAUUGCCAAUUCCCUGCUAUCUGCUGCUGUCACACCCUCUCUGUCUGUUUCAGCUUCUUCAACAACUUUUUGGUUGCAAACAGUUAGUUGAUCUUUUGCAGUGACAAGUUUGACAUUAACCUCUUGCAAUUGUUGAAAAUGCUCAGAUGUGGUCUCUUCUUCACGUUCAGAAUUCCGUGAGUUCUUCAACAUAAACUCAAUUUGAGUGCUAUCUUUUUGAAGUAGACAGCUAGAGUCAACUUGCUUAUCUCCAUUGCAAACACUAGUUUCAGAACCAGAGGAGCUGUCCUUUGGACCAGUCAUAGAAUCUGAUAUUUC